GUUGGGAAUCUUGCACAAUGGGGGAAACCCUGAUGCAGCGACGCCGCGUGGAGGACGACGGAUCUAGGUCUGUAAACUCCUUUUGCCAGGAAAGACUUAGGACGGUACCUGGCGAAUAAGCCCCGGCUAACUACGUGCCAGCAGCCGCGGUAAGACGUAGGGGGCGAGCGUUGUCCGGAUUUACUGGGCGUAAAGGGCGCGUAGGCGGCUUGUUAAGUGUGGUGUGAAAUCUCCAGGGCUCAACCCGGAAACCGCACCGCAUACUGGCUAGCUUGAGGAACGCAGAGGUGACUGGAAUUCCCGGUGUAGCGGUGAAAUGCAUUGAUAUCGGGAGGAACUCCAAUGGCGAAGGCAGGUCACUGGGCGUCACCUGACGCUGAGGCGCGAAAGCGUGGGUAGCAAACAGGAUUAGAUACCCCAGUAGUCC
This 427-nucleotide ribosomal RNA is filed under the name uncultured bacterium. RNAcentral's name for it is "bacterial SSU rRNA". It matches the Rfam family "Bacterial small subunit ribosomal RNA", at positions 354 to 796 of the family's 1533-position model. The record is from RNAcentral.